CGAGCGGUAAGGCCCUUUCGGGGGUACACGAGCGGCGAACGGGUGAGUAACACGUGGGUGACCUGCCCUCCACUCUGGGAUAAGCCCGGGAAACUGGGUCUAAUACCGGAUAGGACCAUUGGAUGCAUGUCUGGUGGUGGAAAGUUUUUUCGGUGGGGGAUGGGCCCGCGGCCUAUCAGCUUGUUGGUGGGGUGAUGGCCUACCAAGGCGGUGACGGGUAGCCGGCCUGAGAGGGCGACCGGCCACACUGGGACUGAGACACGGCCCAGACUCCUACGGGAGGCAGCAGUGGGGAAUAUUGCGCAAUGGGCGGAAGCCUGACGCAGCGACGCCGCGUGGGGGAUGACGGCCUUCGGGUUGUAAACCUCUUUCGCCAGGGACGAAGCUAACGUGACGGUACCUGGAGAAGAAGCACCGGCCAACUACGUGCCAGCAGCCGCGGUAACACGUAGGGUGCGAGCGUUGUCCGGAAUUAUUGGGCGUAAAGAGCUCGUAGGCGGUGUGUCGCGUCGGCCGUGAAAACUUGGGGCUUAACUCUGAGCGUGCGGUCGAUACGGGCAUCACUUUGAGUUCGGCAGGGGAGACUGGAAUUCCUGGUGUAGCGGUGAAAUGCGCAGAUAUCAGGAGGAACACCGGUGGCGAAGGCGGGUCUCUGG
This 656-nucleotide ribosomal RNA is filed under the name actinobacterium CR64. RNAcentral describes it as "bacterial SSU rRNA". It matches the Rfam family "Bacterial small subunit ribosomal RNA", at positions 63 to 732 of the family's 1533-position model. The record is from RNAcentral. Lineage: Bacteria; Bacillati; Actinomycetota; Actinomycetes.